CCCCUUUCCCUUCUUCCUCAUUGUCAGUAGCCGUCGGUUGUCGUAAUCAAGCCUAAUUAUCCGAAACCUCCUCUUUUCCUCUUAAAUUCUCUGUUUUUCCACUUUUUCGGAGAUCUGGGCUAUUCUGCUUGGAACCGGCAUCAUCGACCAAGCCACCAUCGCCGCUUGCACCUGGCCGCGCCACCAUUGCUCGAUCACUUGGCCGUCGGACGCUACCAGCCCCACCCAUCCUUCC
RNAcentral lists this long non-coding RNA (235 nucleotides) under Elaeis guineensis (African oil palm). RNAcentral's name for it is "long non-coding RNA (EGUI_LNC034372)". The record is from RNAcentral. Lineage: Eukaryota; Viridiplantae; Streptophyta; Magnoliopsida; Arecales; Arecaceae.